GAUGAACGCUGGCGGCGUGCCUAAUACAUGCAAGUCGAGCGAACGGACGAGAAGCUUGCUUCUCUGAUGUUAGCGGCGGACGGGUGAGUAACACGUGGAUAACCUACCUAUAAGACUGGGAUAACUUCGGGAAACCGGAGCUAAUACCGGAUAAUAUUUUGAACCGCAUGGUUCAAAAGUAAAAGACGGUCCUGCUGUCACUUAUAGAUGGAUCCGCGCUGCAUUAGCUAGUUGGUAAGGUAACGGCUUACCAAGGCAACGAUGCAUAGCCGACCUGAGAGGGUGAUCGGCCACACUGGAACUGAGACACGGUCCAGACUCCUACGGGAGGCAGCAGUAGGGAAUCUUCCGCAAUGGGCGAAAGCCUGACGGAGCAACGCCGCGUGAGUGAUGAAGGUCUUCGGAUCGUAAAACUCUGUUAUUAGGGAAGAACAUAUGUGUAAGUAACUGUGCACAUCUUGACGGUACCUAAUCAGAAAGCCACGGCUAACUACGUG
Molecule: ribosomal RNA, 497 nt
Filed under: uncultured bacterium
Lineage: Bacteria
Description: partial 16S ribosomal RNA
Rfam family: Bacterial small subunit ribosomal RNA
Source: RNAcentral